This 249-nucleotide ribosomal RNA is filed under the name Salmonella enterica subsp. enterica serovar Infantis. RNAcentral's name for it is "partial 16S ribosomal RNA". It matches the Rfam family "Bacterial small subunit ribosomal RNA", at positions 1 to 246 of the family's 1533-position model. Lineage: Bacteria; Pseudomonadati; Pseudomonadota; Gammaproteobacteria; Enterobacterales; Enterobacteriaceae. RNAcentral also lists the same sequence under 1 other name. The record is from RNAcentral.
AAAUUGAAGAGUUUGAUCAUGGCUCAGAUUGAACGCUGGCGGCAGGCCUAACACAUGCAAGUCGAACGGUAACAGGAAGCAGCUUGCUGCUUUGCUGACGAGUGGCGGACGGGUGAGUAAUGUCUGGGAAACUGCCUGAUGGAGGGGGAUAACUACUGGAAACGGUGGCUAAUACCGCAUAACGUCGCAAGACCAAAGAGGGGGGCCUUCGGGCCUCUUGCCAUCAGAUGUGCCCAGAUGGGAUUAGCU